ACGAAGGGGGCUAGCGUUGUUCGGAAUCACUGGGCGUAAAGCGCACGUAGGCGGAUCUUUAAGUCAGGGGUGAAAUCCCGAGGCUCAACCUCGGAACUGCCUUUGAUACUGGGGAUCUCGAGUCCGGAAGAGGUAAGUGGAACUGCGAGUGUAGAGGUGAAAUUCGUAGAUAUUCGCAAGAACACCAGUGGCGAAGGCGGCUUACUGGUCCGGAACUGACGCUGAGGUGCGAAAGCGUGGGGAGCAAACAG
RNAcentral lists this ribosomal RNA (251 nucleotides) under uncultured prokaryote. RNAcentral's name for it is "partial 16S rRNA". It matches the Rfam family "Bacterial small subunit ribosomal RNA", at positions 525 to 775 of the family's 1533-position model. The record is from RNAcentral.